CAUCCUUUGAAAACUCUAGAGAUAGAGCCUUCCCCUUCGGGGGACAAAGUGACAGGUGGUGCAUGGUUGUCGUCAGCUCGUGUCGUGAGAUGUUGGGUUAAGUCCCGCAACGAGCGCAACCCUUAAGCUUAGUUGCCAUCAUUAAGUUGGGCACUCUAGGUUGACUGCCGGUGACAAACCGGAGGAAGGUGGGGAUGACGUCAAAUCAUCAUGCCCCUUAUGAUUUGGGCUACACACGUGCUACAAUGGACAAUACAAAGGGCAGCUAAACCGCGAGGUCAUGCAAAUCCCAUAAAGUUGUUCUCAGUUCGGAUUGUAGUACUGC
RNAcentral lists this ribosomal RNA (325 nucleotides) under Staphylococcus sp. HC17a. RNAcentral describes it as "bacterial SSU rRNA". It matches the Rfam family "Bacterial small subunit ribosomal RNA", at positions 985 to 1308 of the family's 1533-position model. Lineage: Bacteria; Bacillati; Bacillota; Bacilli; Caryophanales; Staphylococcaceae. The record is from RNAcentral.